Molecule: long non-coding RNA, 1115 nt
Filed under: Salmo salar (Atlantic salmon)
Lineage: Eukaryota; Metazoa; Chordata; Actinopteri; Salmoniformes; Salmonidae
Description: lncRNA (ENSSSAG00000105340.1)
Source: RNAcentral
UGUAUCUAUAUCUCUGGUACAGGCAGCAAGUUUCUAUAGUGAACCUGCCUGCCUAACGAGCCUGUCUCCUCUCGCCUCAGCCUGGAUUUUAGCACGCCACACUCACUUUUAGCAGUCCAAAGUCAAAUAGUGACUCACAAAUUCCUCUGCUUUUCUUUUUCCAGGGAUCAGACAUUAGGGAGAGGCAACGUCACCUUUCCUCCUCCCUCCUCCACUCCCUACUUGUGCUCCUGCUAGCCUAACCCAGGCCUAUACAGUAAGUUACUUCUCUCUCUCUAACUACUGUCCACACACACCUCUAGUCUCAACAGUAAAUUCUACAAGAAUCUCACCCCUCUUUCGCUAACUUCCCUCUUCACAAAUAAUAUACAUUUCAGUUGUACAGUCUGCUUCACAAAUAGUCCCCUAUUCCCUGUGUAGUGCCCUAUGUGGCCUGGUCUAAAGUAGUGCACUAUAGAGGAAAAAGGGUGUAAUUUGGGAUGCACACACAGUUACAACACACCUCCAGCCAGAUCUUUUGGUCUUUCGGGCCCCAGCCUGCAAUCAAACGGCAGCCACGCCAAAUGCUUUUUCCGGAGGCCAGGAUUUUUUUCAGCUCCUGUAGCUCUGAUAAAAGCCCUGCCACACUCAAACCCCCUAUAGACUUCUCACACACACACACACACACACACACACACACACACACACACAACCCCCUAUAGGCUUCUCACACACACACACACACACACACACACACACACACACACACACACACACACACCCCCGAAGGCCAGUGAAAACAUCAAAGCGUUUCUACUGUAAGUCAGCAACACCUUUAAACUGCAGGCGCUGUAAAACAGAGGUGGAAAGAGGUGGAGACUUAGAGAGGAGGGAGGAGAGGUGGAGGAGAGAGGAGGUAGAGAGAGGAUGAGGAGAGAGGAGGUAGAGAGAGGAUGAGGAGGUGAAGAGAGGAGGUGGAGAGAGGUGGUGAGCCUUGGCUAGCACAUUAUUGCAGAUGUGCCUCAUGCUUUGUUGAGAAGAGCCAAUUCCCCUUAAUGUGAGCGGUAAAAAGGCUCUGGUUCGCCCUCUCAAAGCGAAGUAUGCUUUUAAAGUAACACUGUGAACGUGACAGCUCA